CCUACGGGUGGCAGCAGUGGGGAAUAUUGGGCAAUGGGCGCAAGCCUGACCCAGCAACGCCGCGUGAAGGAAGAAGGCUUUCGGGUUGUAAACUUCUUUUCUCAGGGACGAAGCAAGUGACGGUACCUGAGGAAUAAGCCACGGCUAACUACGUGCCAGCAGCCGCGGCAAUACGUAGGUGGCAAGCGUUAUCCGGAUUUACUGGGUGUAAAGGGCGUGUAGGCGGGGACGCAAGUCAGAUGUGAAAACCACGGGCUCAACCUGUGGCGUGCAUUUGAAACUGUGUUUCUUGAGUGCUGGAGAGGCAGACGGAAUUCCUGGUGUAGCGGUGAAAUGCGUAGAUAUUAGGAGGAACACCAGUGGCGAAGGCAGUCUGCUGGACAGCAACUGACGCUGAGGCGCGAAAGCGUGGGGAGCAAACAGGAUUAGAUACCCCUGUAGUC
This 443-nucleotide ribosomal RNA is filed under the name uncultured bacterium. RNAcentral's name for it is "partial 16S ribosomal RNA". It matches the Rfam family "Bacterial small subunit ribosomal RNA", at positions 338 to 795 of the family's 1533-position model. The record is from RNAcentral.